GCCAAACAGCUAGCUUAACCACCAAGAUAAGUUUACAACAUAAAUAAAAUAAUAUUACCAAAACACAUAAAUUAAACCAUUCUACCGCCCCAGUAUGGGAGACAGAAAAGGCCACUUUAAGCAAUAGAAAAAGUACCGCAAGGGAAAGCUGAAAGAGAAAUGAAAAAACCCAUCCAAGCAACAAAAAGCAGAGACUAAACCUCGUACCUUUUGCAUCAUGAUUUAGCAAGCACUAAACAAGCAAAGAGACCUUUAGUUUAAUACCCCGAAACCAAGUGAGCUACCCCGAGACAGCCUAUGUGGGCCAACCCGUCUCUGUAGCAAAAGAGUGGGAAGAGCUCCGGGUAGAGGUGACAAACCUACCGAACUUGGUGAUAGCUGGUUGCCUAAGAAAUGAAUAAAAGUUCAGCCUCGUGCACCCCUAAUCAAAGAAGAGAUCUUCCAACCCGAAUACAAAGAGAAACCCACGAGAGUUAGUCAAAGGAGGUACAGCCCCUUUGACAAAGGAUACAACCUCUACAGGAGGAUAAAGAUCAUACCAAACAAAACCCGUCGUCCUAGUGGGCCUAAAAGCAGCCACCUGAACAGAAAGCGUCAAAGCUCAAACGACACAGAGUUUAUUAUUCUGACACAUAAUCUAACUCCCCUAAAGAUACUAGGCCGCCCCAUGCCAACAUGGAAGAGACCAUGCUAAAAUGAGUAACAAGAGGGCAAGCCCCUCUCCAAGCACAAGUGUAAGCCAGACCGGACCAACCACUGGCAAUUAACGAACCCAAAAAAAGAGGAUGCUGUAAACAACAAUAAACACAAGAAAAACCUACAACAAAACAAUCGUUAACCCCACACUGGAGUGCCCCAAGGAAAGACUAAAAGAAAAGGAAGGAACUCGGCAAACACAAGCCUCGCCUGUUUACCAAAAACAUCGCCUCCUGCAAAACCCCAAGUAUAAGAGGUCCAGCCUGCCCAGUGACUACAAGUUCAACGGCCGCGGUAUUCUAACCGUGCAAAGGUAGCGCAAUCAUUUGUUUUCUAAAUAAAGACCUGUAUGAACGGCUAAACGAGGGCUUAACUGUCUCCCUUUUCAAGUCAGUGAAAUUGAUCUGCCCGUGCAGAAGCGGACAUAAAUAUACAAGACGAGAAGACCCUUUGGAGCUUAAGGUACAAAAUCCAACCACGUCAAACAACUUAAUCCAUCUAAGCCAGAACUUAGUGAAAAAUGGAAUCUUACCUUCGGUUGGGGCGACCAUGGAGGAAAAAAGAUCCUCCAAGUGGACUGGGAAAAUCCAUAAAACCAAGAAGCACACUUCUAAGCCACAGAAAUUCUGACCAAUCAUGAUCCGGCCCACAAGCCGAUCAACGAACCAAGUUACCCCAGGGAUAACAGCGCAAUCCUCUCCUAGAGUCCGUAUCGACGAGAGGGUUUACGACCUCGAUGUUGGAUCAGGACAUCCUAACAGUGCAACCGCUGUUAAGGGUUCGUUUGUUCAACGAUUAAAGUCCUACGUGAUCUGAGUUCAGACCGGAGCAAUCCAGGUCAGUUUCUAUCUGUAACGUUACUUUUUCCUAGUACGAAAGGACCGGAAAAUAGAGGCCUAUACUCAAAGCAUGCCUCACCCCCAAUUAAUGAAAACAAAUAAAUUAAACAAAGGGGAGCCAAACACUCUAGCCAAAAUAAGGCUAU
Molecule: ribosomal RNA, 1681 nt
Filed under: Vaillantella maassi
Lineage: Eukaryota; Metazoa; Chordata; Actinopteri; Cypriniformes; Vaillantellidae
Description: 16S ribosomal RNA
Rfam family: Bacterial large subunit ribosomal RNA (bases 96-1568)
Source: RNAcentral